This 208-nucleotide microRNA precursor is filed under the name Oryza barthii. Its description in RNAcentral is "MIR812 microRNA precursor family". It matches the Rfam family "MIR812 microRNA precursor family". Lineage: Eukaryota; Viridiplantae; Streptophyta; Magnoliopsida; Poales; Poaceae. The record is from Rfam by way of RNAcentral.
AAAAAGACAAACCCUGGGUUUCCAUGUCCAACGUUUGACCGUCCAUUUUAUUUAAAAAAAUUAUAAAAAUAAAUUAAAAAGAUAAGUCACGCAUAAAAUAUUAAUCAUGUUUUAUCAUCUAACAACAAUGAAAAUACUUAUUAUAAAAAAAUUUCAUAUAAGACGAACAGUCAAACGUUGAGCAUGAAAACCUAGGGUUUGUCUUUUU